Molecule: ribosomal RNA, 301 nt
Filed under: uncultured bacterium
Lineage: Bacteria
Description: partial 16S ribosomal RNA
Rfam family: Bacterial small subunit ribosomal RNA
Source: RNAcentral
CAGUAGCCGCGGUAAUACAGAGGGUGCGAGCGUUAAUCGGAUUUACUGGGCGUAAAGCGUGCGUAGGCGGCUUCUUAAGUCGGAUGUGAAAUCCCUGAGCUUAACUUAGGAAUUGCAUUCGAUACUGGGAAGCUAGAGUAUGGGAGAGGAUGGUAGAAUUCCAGGUGUAGCGGUGAAAUGCGUAGAGAUCUGGAGGAAUACCGAUGGCGAAGGCAGCCAUCUGGCCUAAUACUGACGCUGAGGUACGAAAGCAUGGGGAGCAAACAGGAUUAGAGACCCCUGUAGCCCUGUCUCUUAUACA